UACGUAGGGGGCUAGCGUUGUCCGGAAUCAUUGGGCGUAAAGCGCGUGUAGGCGGUCCGGUAAGUCCGCUGUGAAAGUCGGGGGCUCAACCCUCGGAUGCCGGUGGAUACUGUCGGGCUUGAGUACGGAAGAGGCGAGUGGAAUUCCUGGUGUAGCGGUGAAAUGCGCAGAUAUCAGGAGGAAUACCGAUGGCGAAGGCAGGUCUCUGGGCUGACACUGACGCUCAUGCACGAAAGCGUGGGGAGCAAACAGG
Molecule: ribosomal RNA, 253 nt
Filed under: uncultured bacterium
Lineage: Bacteria
Description: partial 16S ribosomal RNA
Rfam family: Bacterial small subunit ribosomal RNA
Source: RNAcentral